CCCCGUACGCUGUGCGGGGCGCUGUAUGUGCUUUUGUAACCAAGGGGUCUGCUCGUG
This is a non-coding RNA of Enterobacter cloacae S611, 57 nucleotides long. The record is from Rfam. Lineage: Bacteria; Pseudomonadati; Pseudomonadota; Gammaproteobacteria; Enterobacterales; Enterobacteriaceae.